Molecule: ribosomal RNA, 301 nt
Filed under: uncultured bacterium
Lineage: Bacteria
Description: partial 16S ribosomal RNA
Rfam family: Bacterial small subunit ribosomal RNA
Source: RNAcentral
CAGCCGCCGCGGUAAUCCGUAGGGUGCAAGCGUUAAUCGGAAUUACUGGGCGUAAAGCGUGCGCAGGCGGUUAUAUAAGACAGAUGUGAAAUCCCCGGGCUCAACCUGGGAACUGCAUUUGUGACUGUAUAGCUAGAGUACGGCAGAGGGGGAUGGAAUUCCGCGUGUAGCAGUGAAAUGCGUAGAUAUGCGGAGGAACACCGUUGGCGAAGGCAAUCCCCUGGGCCUGUACUGACGCUCAUGCACGAAAGCGUGGGGAGCAAACAGGAUUAGAUACCCCUGUAGUCCCUGUCUCUUAUAC